RNAcentral lists this long non-coding RNA (236 nucleotides) under Lathyrus oleraceus (garden pea). RNAcentral describes it as "Pisum sativum (pea) long non-coding RNA (PSAT_LNC035605)". The record is from RNAcentral. Lineage: Eukaryota; Viridiplantae; Streptophyta; Magnoliopsida; Fabales; Fabaceae.
UAAGCCUACACUCUUAAUUUUUUUCUUCUUACUUCUAAAAUAAAUCUCUUAAAUUUAUUUUAUUUUAAAAAUUUAGAGACAACCCAAUAUCCUUAAUUAUAUUGGGCUUAAUAACAAAUUUGAUCUCCUUAUUUUUAAAUUUUUUGAGUUUUAAUCCCUCUAUUUAAAAUUCGCUUUAUUUGUCUUUUCAUUUCAAUUUUUUUGGAAUUUUAGUUUCUCACUCCAUUUGAAAAUCA